GACGAACGCUGGCGGCGUGCUUAACACAUGCAAGUCGAACGGAAAGGCCUCUUUCGGGGGGUACUCGAGUGGCGAACGGGUGAGUAACACGUGAGUAACCUGCCCUUGACUUUGGGAUAACUUCAGGAAACUGGGGCUAAUACCGGAUAGGAGCUCCUGCUGCAUGGUGGGGGUUGGAAAGUUUCGGCGGUUGGGGAUGGACUCGCGGCUUAUCAGCUUGUUGGUGGGGUAGUGGCUUACCAAGGCUUUGACGGGUAGCCGGCCUGAGAGGGUGACCGGCCACAUUGGGACUGAGAUACGGCCCAGACUCCUACGGGAGGCAGCAGGGGGGAAUAUUGCACAAUGGGUGGAAGCCUGAUGCAGCAACGCCGUGGGCGGGGGGACGGCCUUCGGGUUGUAAACCGCUUUCGCUCAUGACGAAGCUUUGUGUGACGGUAGUGGGUAAAGAAGCACCGGCUAACUACGUG
Molecule: ribosomal RNA, 467 nt
Filed under: uncultured bacterium
Lineage: Bacteria
Description: partial 16S ribosomal RNA
Rfam family: Bacterial small subunit ribosomal RNA
Source: RNAcentral